RNAcentral lists this transfer RNA (77 nucleotides) under Cryomorphaceae bacterium. RNAcentral describes it as "tRNA-Thr". It matches the Rfam family "tRNA". Rfam says of the family: Transfer RNA (tRNA) molecules are approximately 80 nucleotides in length. Their secondary structure includes four short double-helical elements and three loops (D, anti-codon, and T loops). The record is from RNAcentral. Lineage: Bacteria; Pseudomonadati; Bacteroidota; Flavobacteriia; Flavobacteriales; Cryomorphaceae. RNAcentral also lists the same sequence under 1 other name.
GCCGGUAUAGCUCAGUUGGCCAGAGCACGUGAUUUGUAAUCUCGGGGUCGUCAGUUCGAAUCUGUCUACCGGCUCAA